RNAcentral lists this long non-coding RNA (760 nucleotides) under Pan troglodytes (chimpanzee). RNAcentral describes it as "long non-coding RNA NONPTRT016197". The record is from RNAcentral. Lineage: Eukaryota; Metazoa; Chordata; Mammalia; Primates; Hominidae.
GGCGCCUGGUAGGCACGAGCGCAGGGUCGCCCAGAAGCUCCUCAAUGGCCGGCGCAAGUACCAGCCAGCGCCAGCUGCAGCCGUGGCCGCGCACUCGCCUCAGCUGAGCCUGGGAAUGUAGAAGCUGUUUCUUUACACAAUCGUUAUCCCAUAAUGCCUGCUUCUGCUGCUACCACGGGCUCACCUAAAAGGCAACCAAAGUAAGUUCAGUCAAUAAGAACCAACAAUAUUGUGUGUGGCUUUGCUUAUCACCGAUGACUCAUUUCCUCCAGUAUUAACUAUGGGAAUUCAAAGCUUCUCUGUUAGCCCAAUUUUCUACUCUAAACCAUGACCCCUGUCCACAAUAUUUGAGGAGUGUCUGACUUCUACUUAGAAGACCUGAACACCCCUCUCUCCUUCUGGAUACAUUUCUGUUUACCCAUACUAAAGUACAGCACUGCAACUCUAAUCUGGCUAAAAUGGACUGAUCAUUUCCCUCAUUCCAGAAAUCUUUUUUAUUAAAUAAUAAUGUUGACAGCAAUAGGUCUUGCACAUACUGCAUGGAUAUACCUGUUAUCUGUCUCCUACUUUGUACUUAAUUUGUGUUGUUUUGUUACAGGGGCCUAAGAUCAGGGCUGUCACCAUUUCAUUAAAUUUCUAGAUCCCCUUUUCUGGCAUUAUUUGCUAUCUUUAGCUGUUUUUCACCCAUGAAUAUAAUCACCCAAUCUAUUUUCUUAUCAUAGUACUUGAUUAAAAACUGAGUAAGGUGGCCGGGUGCGGU